Molecule: transfer RNA, 72 nt
Filed under: Stereum hirsutum FP-91666 SS1
Lineage: Eukaryota; Fungi; Basidiomycota; Agaricomycetes; Russulales; Stereaceae
Description: tRNA-Gln (CTG) (tRNA-Gln-CTG-2-1)
Rfam family: tRNA
About the family: Transfer RNA (tRNA) molecules are approximately 80 nucleotides in length.
Source: RNAcentral
GGCGCUAUCGUAUAGUGGUUAGUACACAGGAUUCUGAUUCCUGUAACCCAGGUUCGAGCCCUGGUAGCGCCU